Molecule: ribosomal RNA, 506 nt
Filed under: uncultured bacterium
Lineage: Bacteria
Description: partial 16S ribosomal RNA
Rfam family: Bacterial small subunit ribosomal RNA
Source: RNAcentral
AGUGAACGCUGGCGGUAGGCCUAACACAUGCAAGUCGAACGGCAGCACAGGAGAGCUUGCUCUCUGGGUGGCGAGUGGCGGACGGGCGAGGAAUACAUCGGAAUCUACUUUUUCGUGGGGGAUAACGUAGGGAAACUUACGCUAAUACCGCAUACGACCUACGGGGGAAAGCAGGGGACCUUCGGGCCUUGCGCGAUUGAAUGAGCCGAUGUCGGAUUAGCUAGUUGGCGGGGUAAAGGCCCACCAAGGCGACGAUCCGUAGCUGGUCUGAGAGGAUGAUCAGCCACACUGGAACUGAGACACGGUCCAGACUCCUACGGGAGGCAGCAGUGGGGAAUAUUGGACAAUGGGCGCAAGCCUGAUCCAGCCAUACCGCGUGGGUGAAGAAGGCCUUCGGGUUGUAAAGCCCUUUUGUUGGGAAAGAAAUCCAGCUGGCUAAUACCCGGUUGGGAUGACGGUACCCAAAGAAUAAGCACCGGCUAACUUCGUGCCAGCCGCCGCCGUAA